Molecule: ribosomal RNA, 502 nt
Filed under: uncultured bacterium
Lineage: Bacteria
Description: partial 16S ribosomal RNA
Rfam family: Bacterial small subunit ribosomal RNA
Source: RNAcentral
AACGAACGCUGGCGGCGUGUUUAAGACAUGCAAGUCGAACGGGGUGAAGUUGUAGCAAUACCGCUUCAUCCAGUGGCGCACGGGUGCGUAACACGUGAGUUACAUGCCCUGCAGUGGGGAAUAGCCCGCCGAAAGGCGGAUUAAUACCCCAUGGUUCCCGCGAGGGUAAAGGUGGCCGCAAGGCUGCUGCUGCAGAAUUGGCUCGCGGCCUAUCAGCUUGUUGGCGGGGUAACGGCCCACCAAGGCGACGACGGGUACCUGGUCUGAGAGGAUGAUCAGGCACACUGGAACUGAGACACGGUCCAGACACCUACGGGUGGCAGCAGUCGAGAAUAAUUCACAAUGGGCGAAAGCCUGAUGGUGCAACGCCGCGUGGAGGAUGAAGGUCUUCGGAUUGUAAACUCCUGUCAUCGGGGAGUAAGACCUGGGCGUGAAUAGCGCACAGGGUUGAUAGUACCCGAAGAGGAAGGGACGGCUAACUUCGUGCCAGCAGCCGCGGUAA